Elephantulus edwardii (Cape elephant shrew) is the source of this 450-nucleotide non-coding RNA. The record is from the annotation of a RefSeq genome assembly. Lineage: Eukaryota; Metazoa; Chordata; Mammalia; Macroscelidea; Macroscelididae.
AUGGACAAGCUUUUGAGAGCAUCAUUUUUAAUCCUAUGGCUUCAGCUAGGCUGGGUGAGUGGCCAACAGGAGGAGAAAAGCAGCCAACAGCAGGUGAAGCAAAAUCCUCCAUCUUUGAGUGUCCAGGAAGGAGGAACUUCAGUGUUGAACUGUGCUUAUGAGAACAGUGCAUUUGAUUACUUCCCGUGGUACCGGCAAUAUCCUGGUAAAGGUCCUGUACUUUUGAUAGACAUUCGUUCAGUUAAGAAUAAAAACCAACAAGGAAGAUUCACAGUCUUCCUCAACAAAACUGCCAAACACCUCUCUCUGCACAUCGCAUCUUCCCAGCCUGAAGACUCAGCCACCUACUUCUGUGCAGCAAGUGCACAGUACUCUGCAGGCACCUGCAGCCUGUACCCAAACCUGCAACUGGAGUCCAGUCAAACCCUGAUGUUGAGCUUAGACUGGUAG